This 73-nucleotide transfer RNA is filed under the name Diaphorina citri (Asian citrus psyllid). It matches the Rfam family "tRNA". From Rfam's summary of the family: Transfer RNA (tRNA) molecules are approximately 80 nucleotides in length. Their secondary structure includes four short double-helical elements and three loops (D, anti-codon, and T loops). Further hydrogen bonds mediate the characteristic L-shaped molecular structure. tRNAs have two regions of fundamental functional importance: the anti-codon, which is responsible for specific mRNA codon recognition, and the 3' end, to which the tRNAs corresponding amino acid is attached (by aminoacyl-tRNA synthetases). tRNAs cope with the degeneracy of the genetic code in two manners: having more than one tRNA (with a specific anti-codon) for a particular amino acid; and 'wobble' base-pairing, i.e. permitting non-standard base-pairing at the 3rd anti-codon position. Lineage: Eukaryota; Metazoa; Arthropoda; Insecta; Hemiptera; Psyllidae. The record is from Rfam by way of RNAcentral.
GCCUAGUUAGCUUAGUUGGUAGCGCGUCUGCCUCGUAAGCGCUAGGCCGCAGGUUCGAUUCCCGCCCGGGGCG